GUCGUUAGCAGAAAUGGCGAAGCGUCAGCAACCGCACGAGGCGGAACCGAGCGCUUGCCGAGGCACGAGGCCCCCUUGGGCCUGCUGCUCGGGCAGCUGCAUAGUGCUCGUGGCGACUGCUGGGGCUCACCGGCCUUCUUGAUCAUGAAGUACAGGUCCUCAGGGAUCUCGGGGGCCAGACCCGCGCCCUUCAGGAUGCGCAGGACCUUGCUGCCAGUCACGGUGUUGAUGAGAGGCACGCCGUGCUGGUCACGCAGCACGAUGCCGAUUUGCGAGGGGGUCAUACCCUUGCGGGCGAACUUGCAAAUCAUCUCCUGCACCUCAGCGCCGGUGGUCUUGCACC
RNAcentral lists this long non-coding RNA (343 nucleotides) under Chlamydomonas reinhardtii. Its description in RNAcentral is "long non-coding RNA (CREI_LNC000609)". Lineage: Eukaryota; Viridiplantae; Chlorophyta; Chlorophyceae; Chlamydomonadales; Chlamydomonadaceae. The record is from RNAcentral.